Molecule: ribosomal RNA, 253 nt
Filed under: uncultured bacterium
Lineage: Bacteria
Description: partial 16S ribosomal RNA
Rfam family: Bacterial small subunit ribosomal RNA
Source: RNAcentral
UACGGAGGGUGCGAGCGUUGUCCGGAAUCACUGGGCGUAAAGGGCGCGUAGGUGGCGCGGGCAGUCAACGGUGAAAGUUCGGGGCUCAACCCUGAAUCGGCCGUCGAUACUCCCGGGCUUGAGCACUGUAGAGGCUAAUGGAAUUCCGGGUGUAGCGGUGGAAUGCGUAGAGAUCCGGAAGAACACCGGUGGCGAAGGCGGCUAGCUGGGCAGUUGCUGACACUGAGGCGCGACAGCGUGGGGAGCAAACAGG